RNAcentral lists this RNase P RNA (333 nucleotides) under human gut metagenome. Its description in RNAcentral is "Bacterial RNase P class A". It matches the Rfam family "Bacterial RNase P class A". From Rfam's summary of the family: Ribonuclease P (RNase P) is a ubiquitous endoribonuclease, found in archaea, bacteria and eukarya as well as chloroplasts and mitochondria. Its best characterised activity is the generation of mature 5'-ends of tRNAs by cleaving the 5'-leader elements of precursor-tRNAs. Cellular RNase Ps are ribonucleoproteins. The record is from RNAcentral.
UAGUCGCUGGCAAAACUCGAAAGGGUUUGCGAGAGGAAAGUCCGGGCUCCAAAGAGCAAUGAUGCUAGAUAACGUCUAGUGAGGGAAACCUUAAGGAAAGUGCAACAGAAAAUAACCGCCAUCAAAAGAUGGUAAGGAUGAAAAGGCGAGGCAAGAGCUCACCGGCUGUAAGGUGACUUACGGCGUCAGUGUAAACCCCAUCUGGAGCAACACCUAAAAUGGAUAUUUAAACACUUGCUCGGUGGUCCAAAAUUGCGUGGCUUGAGCUAUAUAGUGAUAUAUGGCCUAGAUAAAUGACUAAUUUAAAUGACAGAACCCGGCUUACAGAUUUGC